Long non-coding RNA from Puntigrus tetrazona (Sumatra barb), 604 nucleotides. RefSeq lists it as uncharacterized. The transcript is spliced from 2 exons. The record is from RefSeq and is a predicted model, not a curated record. Lineage: Eukaryota; Metazoa; Chordata; Actinopteri; Cypriniformes; Cyprinidae.
GCGUCAUCGCUAGCUCCGCCCCUUGGUGUGUGUGGGUUUCCGCAUGGAAAAGGUAUGGUUUGGUGGCAGUUUGUCUGGUGUUAAAUUUUAGUUAGUGUAUAUCAAUUAAUUGAAUUCACUCUUGUAGCUGGAAUAGCUUCUGGUUUGCGGUUUUGCAGUGGUGCGCAGGCUGUCAUUGAUCCCGGGUAAGCCCAGUUUGAUAAACGGUUUAUAUAAAACAAUUACAUCUGUUUAAAUCGCAUGUUUUUAUUUCAGCUGGGUUGAGUCCACUUUCCGUGUGAAUUGUCAAACAUUAUGCUGUGAGCAAUCAUACAACUUAGGUUAUUUUGACGAAGAUUUGGGCCCUGUAUGAGAAGGCUAGCUGUUAUGAUAUCCUGGUGGUGGUAUUUGGAGCACGAGGUGUGGACUGCCGUCUGAUCACUUACUCCACUGGUGUGUGUGUGUGUGUGUGUGUUUGUGUGCGCGUGUGGUUUAACAUUCACUUUACAGCUAGCCUAGUCUGCUUGUAUGUUUAGGUCCCUGUUUGACUUGUUGUGGUUCUAUUUUUGUUAUUUUGGUCGUAAAUGUUUGUUUUAUUUGGAUUUAAUAAACAACCAUGUUUUUA